CUACGGGGCGCAGCAGUGAGGAAUAUUGCACAAUGGGGGGAACCCUGAUGCAGCAACGCCGCGUGGAGGAUGACGCAUUUCGGUGUGUAAACUCCUUUUAUAUGUCAAGAAAAUGACGGUAGCAUAUGAAUAAGCACCGGCUAACUCCGUGCCAGCAGCCGCGGUAAUACGGAGGGUGCAAGCGUUACUCGGAAUCACUGGGCGUAAAGGACGCGUAGGCGGGUUGGAAAGUCAGGUGUGAAAUCCUACAGCUUAACUGUAGAACUGCACUUGAAACUUCUAAUCUAGAGUAUGGGAGGGGGAGAUGGAGUUAGUGGUGUAGGGGUAAGAUCCGUAGAUAUUACUAGGAAUACCUAAAGCGAAGGCGAUCUCCUGGAACAUUACUGACGCUAAGGCGUGAAAGCGUGGGGAGCAAACAGGAUUAGAUACCCCCGUAGUC
RNAcentral lists this ribosomal RNA (439 nucleotides) under uncultured bacterium. RNAcentral describes it as "partial 16S ribosomal RNA". It matches the Rfam family "Bacterial small subunit ribosomal RNA", at positions 339 to 795 of the family's 1533-position model. The record is from RNAcentral.